Molecule: transfer RNA, 74 nt
Filed under: Candidatus Omnitrophota bacterium
Lineage: Bacteria; Pseudomonadati; Candidatus Omnitrophota
Description: Candidatus Omnitrophica bacterium (groundwater metagenome) tRNA-Arg
Rfam family: tRNA
About the family: Transfer RNA (tRNA) molecules are approximately 80 nucleotides in length.
Source: RNAcentral
GCGCCCGUAGCUCAAUUGGAUAGAGCGCCUGGCUUCGAACCAGGAGGUAGCGGGUUCAAAUCCUGCCGGGCGCG